This 23-nucleotide small RNA is filed under the name Arabidopsis thaliana (thale cress). Its description in RNAcentral is "AGO4_05218". The record is from RNAcentral. Lineage: Eukaryota; Viridiplantae; Streptophyta; Magnoliopsida; Brassicales; Brassicaceae.
GAUCCCGCCUUGCAUCAACUGAA